RNAcentral lists this ribosomal RNA (368 nucleotides) under uncultured organism. RNAcentral's name for it is "bacterial SSU rRNA". It matches the Rfam family "Bacterial small subunit ribosomal RNA", at positions 526 to 896 of the family's 1533-position model. The record is from RNAcentral.
CGGAGGGUGCAAGCGUUAUCCGGAUUCACUGGGUUUAAAGGGUGCGUAGGAGGGCAGGUAAGUCAGUGGUGAAAUCUCCAAGCUUAACUUGGAAACUGCCGUUGAUACUAUCUGUCUUGAAUAUUGUGGAGGUGAGCGGAAUAUGUCAUGUAGCGGUGAAAUGCUUAGAUAUGACAUAGAACACCAAUUGCGAAGGCAGCUCGCUACUCAAUUAUUGACUCUAAGGCACGAAAGCGUGGGGAUCAAACAGGAUUAGAUACCCUGGUAGUCCACGCCCUAAACUAUGGAUACUCGACAUACGCGAUAUACAGUGUGUGUCUGAGCGAAAGCAUUAAGUAUCCCACCUGGGAAGUACGACCGCAAGGUUG